RNAcentral lists this ribosomal RNA (431 nucleotides) under uncultured bacterium. Its description in RNAcentral is "bacterial SSU rRNA". It matches the Rfam family "Bacterial small subunit ribosomal RNA", at positions 30 to 467 of the family's 1533-position model. The record is from RNAcentral.
AUUGAACGCUGGCGGCAUGCCUUACACAUGCAAGUCGAACGGCAGCACGGGGCAACCUGGUGGCGAGUGGCGAACGGGUGAGUAAUGCAUCGGAACGUGCCAUUGAGUGGGGGAUAACGUAGCGAAAGUUGCGCUAAUACCGCAUAUUCUGUGAGCAGGAAAGCAGGGGACCGCAAGGCCUUGCGCUCUUUGAGCGGCCGAUGUCAGAUUAGCUAGUUGGUGAGGUAACGGCUUACCAAGGCGACGAUCUGUAGCGGGUCUGAGAGGAUGAUCCGCCACACUGGAACUGAGACACGGUCCAGACUCCUACGGGAGGCAGCAGUGGGGAAUUUUGGACAAUGGGCGCAAGCCUGAUCCAGCCAUUCCGCGUGCAGGAUGAAGCCUGGUUGUAACUAGCUUUGUACGGUAACGAAACGGACGAGCUCUAAUAC